Molecule: transfer RNA, 65 nt
Filed under: Empria excisa
Lineage: Eukaryota; Metazoa; Arthropoda; Insecta; Hymenoptera; Tenthredinidae
Also listed under: 1 other name
Description: tRNA-Tyr
Source: RNAcentral
AAUAAAAUGGCUGAUUAAAGGCGAUAAAUUGUAAAUUUAUUUAUGAAAUUUUUUUUCUUUUAUUA